RNAcentral lists this ribosomal RNA (501 nucleotides) under uncultured bacterium. Its description in RNAcentral is "partial 16S ribosomal RNA". It matches the Rfam family "Bacterial small subunit ribosomal RNA", at positions 355 to 849 of the family's 1533-position model. The record is from RNAcentral.
UGGGGAAUAUUGGACAAUGGGCGAAAGCCUGAUCCAGCAAUGCCGCGUGUGUGAAGAAGGCCUUCGGGUUGUAAAGCACUUUAAGUUGGGAAGAAAAAGCUCUGGCUAAUAUCUAGAGCCUUGACGGUACCAACAGAAUAAGCACCGGCUAACUCUGUGCCAGCAGCCGCGGUAAUACAGAGGGUGCUAGCGUUAAUCGGAUUUACUGGGCGUAAAGCGUGCGUAGGCGGUUUGAUAAGUCGAUUGUGAAAGCCCCGGGCUUAACCUGGGAAUUGCAGUUGAUACUGUCAGACUAGAAAACGGUAGAGGGAGGCGGAACUCCAGGUGUAGCGGUGAAAUGCGUAGAUAUCUGGAAGAACACCGAUGGCGAAGGCAACCUCCUGGGCCUGUUUUGACGCUGAGGCACGAAAGCGUGGGUAGCAAACAGGAUUAGAUACCCUGGUAGUCCACGCCGUAAACGAUGAGAACUUGACGUUGGUUUGCUUAGCAAAUCGGUGUCGU